ACUUUUAUAGUAUAUAAAAUACAAAAGCUUUUCAUGCUUUAGAAAAAAGUAUUAUCUUUUUAAAAGUA
RNAcentral lists this transfer RNA (68 nucleotides) under Pupilla muscorum. RNAcentral's name for it is "tRNA-Glu". The record is from RNAcentral. Lineage: Eukaryota; Metazoa; Mollusca; Gastropoda; Stylommatophora; Pupillidae.